Molecule: long non-coding RNA, 2713 nt
Organism: Gallus gallus (chicken)
Lineage: Eukaryota; Metazoa; Chordata; Aves; Galliformes; Phasianidae
Source: Ensembl
AUGAGGGAGAGAGGGCUGAUUGCAACACUCGUUUUCCCAUUGGCUGCACUAAAAACCUUUAAUUUAGCCAUGAAACUUCUGCUGAAUUCUUGUGUGCUGCACUGAGUUAGAAGUCUUACCUCAAAACUGACUCCAACUUUGCAAAGAAGUCUGCAGGAAUUUCUACCUAGCCGACCGCCGUCAUUUAUUUGAGCAGCUCAGUACAUAAUUAAGAAGCCCUGGAGCCUGGGACAGCCUUUUAUCUUGAAAAGUGGCUCUUCCAGACCCUACCAAUCCCUGCACCCAGCACUGGGUUUGGCCAGUGAGUAAUGGAAAAGCAAGGGAACGCCGAGGAAUCAAAGACAGUGUGCUGAAGAGAUGAGAAAGGACAAUACGAGUCAUGGUGAACGUUGACAUUCCUUGUUCUCACUGACCUCAACUCAGACAGGAGCUGCCGGCAGUAACAGACAUAUGGAGUAAUAAUUAAUGGCAGUUUGUAUAAUCUCCACUGAAGGAAGCACAGGAGGAAAUAAGUGUGGGGGCAUGGCAAGAGUAGGGCAAAGCGAGCCAGCCCCAGGCAAUGGAACAGAAGAAUCUACAGCCCAUGAAGAUAAACACCACACAUGCUCUGUCCUGCUCCUAAGUGUUCUUCAUAAGCAUGUCUGUAAUCACAAUGAUGACUACCACUACUUCUCAAACUGCAGCCCAUUGUCAAUUAUUUUUCAUGAGCAACAACAUUAUCAUGACUAUUACAGGAUGAACAUGUAUGAUUGAUUCUUCACUUUCUUAAUUAAAUACUUAAUGAUACUAAUGAAUUAAAGUGGGCCACUCAUUCACAAGCACUUAUGGAAUCACAGAAUCAUAGAAUCGCUUGAGUUGGAAGGGACCCUGACAGGCCAUCUGGUCAAACUCCCCUGCAAUGCACAGAGACACCCACAUCUCCAUCAGUUGCCCAGCCUGACACUGAGUGCCUCCAGUUAUGGAACAUUCACCACCUCUCUGGGCAAUCUGUGUCAGUGCUUCACCACCCUUGCUGGCUCACAUCCAGCUUGCCAUCCACCAGUACCCCUAUCCACCAGGGAUCUGCAGCGUCCCUGUCCGUGUGAUGCAGGAGAUACAGAUCUCCAGCAUCCUGGAGCUGGUGCUGGGAGGUCAGGAGAGACACACAAAGGCAUCAGAGCAGUAAGACCUGUGUGUGUUUGUGUGCAUGGGCAGCUGCGUCCCAUGCAUGAUGCCCAAAUCUGGAGCUGAAACUUGACUUCUUGAAGAUGCCAAAGAGAAUAGAAGAGAAUGAGAAUGAGUCCAGCCAUAUUAUCAUCAUCCUCUUCUGCCUUCUCUUUGCACAUUGCACAGGAAUGUGGGUGACAUGGCUUAAUGGGCAUGGUGGUGAUGGGUCGGUGGCUGGACUUGAUGAUUUUAGUGGUCUUUUUGAACCUUAGUGAUUCUAUGAUUCUACAAAUUUGGUUCAUUUAGGCUAAAUAGCAAUCAUCCAGCACCUGCUGAAAAGUGAUUCCGCAACUCACCUUUGCGCCUCUUCAACGCCAGAUUUCCAUGCUGCCAGCACCGAUAUGGGGAUCAUGACAUACAUACCUGAGUGCUUGGGCUGCCCCCUGAGCUGUACUUGCAUUGAUUUCUGUGUAGUGUUGUACAAAAUGCCAUGCUGAGCCAUGGUGGCUGAAAGCAGCGGGCUUUUUUUUAGUGAUAUGAAAGGGAGUGACCUGCUUACCCUCAGUGCUGAUGGGUUUAACUCUGCAGCCUGUAUGAUAAGGUAGCUGUUGACAACUGACCUCAGCACGGGGCUCAGGCUCACACAUCUGUACAUGCAAUAAAAGCCCUCAACAGCUUUGCAUCUGCAGCUUGCACUGCCUCUGUCCGAUGAUGAUGCUUUUUUUUUUUUUAUCAUGCAGUGAAUGCAAAAGAUUAACACUUGGAAAUAAUGCUCAUGGGAGAGAAUUUCCUGAAGGGCUACUAGCUGCAGAAACAGCACUUCUGGCAGUUUGUGAGAACGGGGCUGGCACUCAAGGCAAUGCCACUGUUUGCCCUCUUAUACUCUUCUCCAAACGCUUGAUCCCUCGGUGUCAAUCCCUCAGCUCCAGUUCCUUUGCUGUAAGAAGGACCCAGGAUUGGCCAUGUCUGUGGAUCUUCUUUACUUCCCACCGUCUUGAAUCGGUGUCAUUUUGUGCAGUGUCUCAGCUUGCACCAACCCACCCAAUUCCUUUGAAGUCAAUGUGACUUCAGGGUGCAAGGAGCCACCCCAGGGCAUGGCUGAUCUCCUUUUUCAUGUACCAUGCAGUGCACAGACCGCAGUGUGCUGCAGACUGGGAAGUGUACCGAGACAAAAAAGCGCCAUUGUAUACGAGUUGGUGUCAAUUAACUCUAGGAACGUUUUGAAUAAAUUAAAUUAUGCUGCAAUCUGAAGCUAAACUGAUCCUUAAUUAAAAGAUAAGAUAUAUUUUUAAUCCUCGGGUGAUUUAAAGAAAAGAAUAAUGAAGUAUGGGAAUCAGAGUCACCUUCCUCAACGGUUGAGCAGUUUCCCUGAGCAAUGCAGUGUGACUUCAAAGCUGUCCCCUGCUAUAGCCCUGCCCUGAGCAGAGGAUUGGACAAGGUGACCUCCAGGGACAUCUUCCAACCCAAAUCGUUGCACGAUUCUCAGCUAUUCUGCUCUCAGCUUUUGGAUGCUGAAGGAUCAAGAUUUGGUUUGGAGACUAUUUGGAGAGCAAGUGUAACAAUGAAG